RNAcentral lists this long non-coding RNA (2692 nucleotides) under Salvator merianae (Argentine black and white tegu). RNAcentral describes it as "lncRNA (ENSSMRG00000012045.1)". The record is from RNAcentral. Lineage: Eukaryota; Metazoa; Chordata; Lepidosauria; Squamata; Teiidae.
GGAGAUGCUAAGGGCUGUGUCUCCUGGUGGGGACUAUUUUGGCUUUAUAUGCUCUGUGCAGGAAUCUGAUAGAGGAGGACAGCACCAGGAUGAUGUGUGAAGCAGGUGAGAACGUGGAGGCACUGACUUGCUGAUGUGAAUCACUCUUGAACACUGUAAGAGAACUGGGAGCUCAGCAGCAGUGGACAAAAUGAAUGGAUAACGUUUGCAAGAUCAUGAUACUGUACACAAGAAGGCUGGACUUAACAUCAUAGUCACAGAGCCAUGAGGUUGCUUAGACGGAGCGCCAUGGAAACAGGGCCACGGACUGGGCAAGGCUACACUGCCCCCUGGAUGUACCAUGGUGUGGCUGGCCAGGACACGCUCCUGGAUAAGCAACUUGUUUCUGAUUUUUCUCCCAGCUGGCAUCGCCCCAGACCCCGUGUACUGCAGGAUUCAACCAACUGGCCCAAUCCUCACGUCUUUCCACCCCGCCGGGUCCCACUGAGGCACGAAGGCCAUUGGUUUCCGGGGAAGGAGUUCGGCAGGGCAGCCCCCUCUCCGAAAGCUCAAAGGCAGCCUAGUCCUGCCUAUGAGGGUCUAUAUCCCAUCAGCAGGAGGGAUUGGAUCUGCGGAGGCUUCCGCACAGAAAAAAGGGGUUCUGUAGGCCCAGCCGGUGGCUUUCCUGCAAAGUGCAGGUGGUAUCAAGGAACUCCGGCCCAGUGUGCGGUAGAUCUCCUUGCCCGAGCCCCUCCGAGCUACGAAGCCCAUAUGCUGUUGCGCCUCAGAACAGGGCGGGGCCCUCGCAAAGAAAACUGGCUAAGCCCACCGCCUUAUAUUGCUCCCCCUUCCUACGAAGCAUCGCACCGCACGGUCAAGCCUCAUCCGCCGCAGCUGCAGCACACAGGCAAGGAAGCCCUCUUGGCAAAAAAGCCAACCCGAGAGGCUCCCAAGAAAACCCAGAAUGCAGUAGAGGCGUCUGAGCUGGGGCCUUUGACUCACAGUCUUGGGAAAAAGGUAGGCAGAUGCCAGGCAAAAAUGCCAGGCAGCUGGAGCUACCUCUCAGGAGCCCAAACGUGGGGAGGCCCAAGGGCGCCACCGGGACGAACCGAGUCUUCCUAUUGCUUGGUUUCCAGCUGGGAGGGGAGCCCCCAGCACCACAGCCACACUCUCCCUCGGACGAGCAGGAGGCCCAAGGGGACGGAGGAACCCUGCCAUCCGUUUCUGAGCGGAUCCCUCCAGCACACGCUACCUGCCAGUUGGGGCUUCAGCCACACAGGGGGAUGGCCCAGAGCCCUAUCCAAUGGGAGCAAAGGGGCUGCCAAAAAAAGCAGGGACUGUUUACCCAGGUGGAAGGAACCAAGUCAUACUAGGAAGCAAGGGGGGCACCAGGUACCUAAGGCAACCCCGCAGAGACACGGGGGCCUGUUUGUAAUCGAUGCCACGUGCGUGGUAAUCCAUGCUCAUUAUAUUCCACCCCCUCAGAUGGAACAUGUCCGCUACUUAGGCUGGGAGGGAGCAGAUAUGGACAAAGUUGCUCCCCCCUCCUGCUCCCUCCCCCCUCCCUCCAUGGAGGAGCGAGCAGCUCGCAUCUUGGGCCUCUCUCUAAGCGAACUGGGAUUCACAGAGGCAGGUGGGAAACUNGAGGGGACGGUUGGGCCCAGGGGUGCGGGGAGCUGUGCCAGCAACACGGACGUGCCCAGGGAGGCGUGUGGAAAAGAGCAGCCCGGCGGGGCUCCGUCUGCCCCAGCCAGCCCCAGGAGGCCCUUGCUAACCGCAGCCCCCAGCAGUUUCCACGUUGAGCCUGUAGAGCAGGGCUUGGACUGUCCGAGUGAGAAAGAGGCAGCCGCUCCUUGCCAGGAAAGCAAUUGCUUGCCACAGGGUAAGGAAGAAGAGGACCCUGUGUUUUCCACAGAAAGCGGAUCCUAUGUCAGGGAUCUAAAAGCAGCCAUGUUGAGGAUCCGCCGGCACACGGCCCCAGACUCCGACACAGAUGAGGAGCUGGAGAAGGACUGCCAGCCACCCUGUAGGCCACCCGUGCGGAAAGGGCGGCUGAAUGAAGGGGCCCUUUCCUACAGCAGCAGCAGCAGCCUCGACAGCAGUGGCUCCAAUGCUACUGUGGUGCCAGGAAAUGGCACUCCUGCCCUCCGAAAUGGCCCGAGCCUGGCUUAGGGCUGAUGGUUGAGCUUGAUCUCCCGCCUCUACCUAGUCGGGCCAGCUCCCCGAAGAUGGAAUAGGAGAGAGCAUGACUGGGAAACUUAGAUCAUCCGGCUAUCUGCCAACCCACCUCACUCGCCAAGUGCCUGGUAACCCUGUGCCUCUGUCCUCUGCCCCUUUCUUCUUGCUGCAAGCUGGGGAACACUUGUGGGUUCAAGGCUCUGUGGUGGGGGAAAGAUGUCAUCGUAAUACUUCUCAGAUUGGUUUCCUGUAGUCGUGCGUGUGGGUAGCAAAACAGCACAGAAGGUGGCCACCACGUUCAGAGGCAAGUUCCUCUUUACUGCUAGAUGCUAGAGACAAUCUACAAGGUUAGCCAUCACUGUAAUGCACUUCAAUGCUAAACCUCUCUGCCUGGUCUUACUAGCUGGAGACAGACAAGAGUGCCAUCAGGGGAAAGCAGGAAGCUGUCAGUAUGAUCAAAGGAGACCUUUCUUUUGUAGUAGGGAUAUCUGCAGUGGGCAAUAAACCUACCAAGAUUUUUUUUUUUCCUGAAUAG